AAUGAACGCUGGCGGCGUGCUUAACACAUGCAAGUCGUGCGCGAAGGUGGCUUCGGCUGCCGGAGAGCGGCGAACGGGUGAGUAACACGUGGGUAAUCUGCCUGGGAGCGGGGGAUAACCUGGGGAAACUCGGGCUAACACCGCAUACGUCGUUUGGGACACGUCCUGGACGGGAAAACUGGCCUCUGCUUGCAAGCUAGUGCUCCUAGAGGAGCCCGCGGCUGAUUAGCUAGUUGGUGAGGUAAUGGCUCACCAAGGCGACGAUCAGUA
RNAcentral lists this ribosomal RNA (270 nucleotides) under uncultured bacterium. RNAcentral describes it as "partial 16S ribosomal RNA". It matches the Rfam family "Bacterial small subunit ribosomal RNA", at positions 29 to 285 of the family's 1533-position model. The record is from RNAcentral.